This 87-nucleotide ribosomal RNA is filed under the name Pseudomonas aeruginosa. Lineage: Bacteria; Pseudomonadati; Pseudomonadota; Gammaproteobacteria; Pseudomonadales; Pseudomonadaceae. The record is from RNAcentral. RNAcentral also lists the same sequence under 3 other names.
UGAUCCCUUCCCGAACUCAGAAGUGAAACGACGCAUCGCCGAUGGUAGUGUGGGGUCUCCCCAUGUGAGAGUAGGUCAUCGUCAAGC